Molecule: ribosomal RNA, 1550 nt
Filed under: Klebsiella pneumoniae subsp. pneumoniae
Lineage: Bacteria; Pseudomonadati; Pseudomonadota; Gammaproteobacteria; Enterobacterales; Enterobacteriaceae
Description: bacterial SSU rRNA
Rfam family: Bacterial small subunit ribosomal RNA
Source: RNAcentral
AAAUUGAAGAGUUUGAUCAUGGCUCAGAUUGAACGCUGGCGGCAGGCCUAACACAUGCAAGUCGAGCGGUAGCACAGAGAGCUUGCUCUCGGGUGACGAGCGGCGGACGGGUGAGUAAUGUCUGGGAAACUGCCUGAUGGAGGGGGAUAACUACUGGAAACGGUAGCUAAUACCGCAUAACGUCGCAAGACCAAAGUGGGGGACCUUCGGGCCUCAUGCCAUCAGAUGUGCCCAGAUGGGAUUAGCUAGUAGGUGGGGUAACGGCUCACCUAGGCGACGAUCCCUAGCUGGUCUGAGAGGAUGACCAGCCACACUGGAACUGAGACACGGUCCAGACUCCUACGGGAGGCAGCAGUGGGGAAUAUUGCACAAUGGGCGCAAGCCUGAUGCAGCCAUGCCGCGUGUGUGAAGAAGGCCUUCGGGUUGUAAAGCACUUUCAGCGGGGAGGAAGGCGGUGAGGUUAAUAACCUCAUCGAUUGACGUUACCCGCAGAAGAAGCACCGGCUAACUCCGUGCCAGCAGCCGCGGUAAUACGGAGGGUGCAAGCGUUAAUCGGAAUUACUGGGCGUAAAGCGCACGCAGGCGGUUUGUUAAGUCGGAUGUGAAAUCCCCGGGCUUAACCUGGGAACUGCAUUCGAAACUGGCAGGCUAGAGUCUUGUAGAGGGGGGUAGAAUUCCAGGUGUAGCGGUGAAAUGCGUAGAGAUCUGGAGGAAUACCGGUGGCGAAGGCGGCCCCCUGGACAAAGACUGACGCUCAGGUGCGAAAGCGUGGGGAGCAAACAGGAUUAGAUACCCUGGUAGUCCACGCCGUAAACGAUGUCGAUUUGGAGGUUGUGCCCUUGAGGCGUGGCUUCCGGAGCUAACGCGUUAAAUCGACCGCCUGGGGAGUACGGCCGCAAGGUUAAAACUCAAAUGAAUUGACGGGGGCCCGCACAAGCGGUGGAGCAUGUGGUUUAAUUCGAUGCAACGCGAAGAACCUUACCUGGUCUUGACAUCCACAGAACUUUCCAGAGAUGGAUUGGUGCCUUCGGGAACUGUGAGACAGGUGCUGCAUGGCUGUCGUCAGCUCGUGUUGUGAAAUGUUGGGUUAAGUCCCGCAACGAGCGCAACCCUUAUCCUUUGUUGCCAGCGGUUAGGCCGGGAACUCAAAGGAGACUGCCAGUGAUAAACUGGAGGAAGGUGGGGAUGACGUCAAGUCAUCAUGGCCCUUACGACCAGGGCUACACACGUGCUACAAUGGCAUAUACAAAGAGAAGCGACCUCGCGAGAGCAAGCGGACCUCAUAAAGUAUGUCGUAGUCCGGAUUGGAGUCUGCAACUCGACUCCAUGAAGUCGGAAUCGCUAGUAAUCGUAGAUCAGAAUGCUACGGUGAAUACGUUCCCGGGCCUUGUACACACCGCCCGUCACACCAUGGGAGUGGGUUGCAAAAGAAGUAGGUAGCUUAACCUUCGGGAGGGCGCUUACCACUUUGUGAUUCAUGACUGGGGUGAAGUCGUAACAAGGUAACCGUAGGGGAACCUGCGGUUGGAUCACCUCCUUACCUUAAAGAA